AAUGAACGCUGGCGGCGUGCCUUACACAUGCAAGUCGAGCGAGGCCGGGUAGCAAUACCCGAGUCGAGCGGCGAACGGGUGAGUAACACGUGGAUAACCUGCCCAGAGGUGGGGGAUAACCCGGGGAAACUCGGGCUAAUACCGCAUGACACCGAGAGGUCAAAGGGGGCGUCGCAAGGGCUCUCGCCAUUGGAGGGGUCCGCGUCCGAUUAGCUAGUUGGUAGGGUAAUGGCCUACCAAGGCGACGAUCGGUAGCCGGCCUGAGAGGGUGAUCGGCCACACUGGAACUGAGACACGGUCCAGACUCCUACGGGAGGCAGCAGUGGGGAAUUUUGCGCAAUGGGCUAACGCCUGACGCAGCAACGCCGCGUGGAGGAUGAAGGUCCUUGGAUUGUAAACUCCUGUCAGCAGGGAAAAGCAACUUAGCCUAAUACGCUAGGGAGUUGAUUGUACCUGCAGAGGAACG
This 466-nucleotide ribosomal RNA is filed under the name uncultured bacterium. RNAcentral's name for it is "bacterial SSU rRNA". It matches the Rfam family "Bacterial small subunit ribosomal RNA", at positions 29 to 491 of the family's 1533-position model. The record is from RNAcentral.